Molecule: ribosomal RNA, 702 nt
Filed under: Oxyrrhis marina
Lineage: Eukaryota; Dinophyceae; Oxyrrhinales; Oxyrrhinaceae
Description: partial Bacterial small subunit ribosomal RNA
Rfam family: Bacterial small subunit ribosomal RNA
Source: RNAcentral
CUUAGUGGCGGACGGGUGAGUAACGCGUGGGGAUUUGCCCUAGAGUGGGGAACAACAUUUGGAAACGAAUGCUAAUACCGCAUACGCCCUUUUGGGGAAAGGCUUCGGCCGCUCUUGGAUGAUCCCGCGUCUGAUUAGCUUGUUGGUAGGGUAAUGGCCUACCAAGGCGACGAUCAGUAGCUGGUCUGAGAGGAUGAUCAGCCACAUUGGGACUGAGACACGGCCCAAACUCCUACGGGAGGCAGCAGUGGGGAAUAUUGGACAAUGGGGGAAACCCUGAUCCAGCAAUGCCGCGUGAGUGAUGAAGGCCUUAGGGUUGUAAAGCUCUUUUACCCGGGAUGAUAAUGACAGUACCGGGAGAAUAAGCUCCGGCUAACUCCGUGCCAGCAGCCGCGGUAAUACGGAGGAUCCAAGCGUUAUCCGGAAUCAUUGGGUUUAAAGGGUCCGUAGGUGGAUAAUUAAGUCAGAGGUGAAAUCCUGCAGCUCAACUGUAGAAUUGCCUUUGAUACUGGUUAUCUUGAAUUAUUGUGAAGUGGUUAGAAUAUGUAGUGUAGCGGUGAAAUGCAUAGAUAUUACUUAGAAUACCAAUUGCGAAGGCAGAUCACUAAUAAUAUAUUGACGCUGAUGGACGAAAGCGUGGGGAGCGAACAGGAUUAGAUACCCUGGUAGUCCACGCCGUAAACGAUGGUCACUAGCUGUUCG